This 253-nucleotide ribosomal RNA is filed under the name uncultured bacterium. Its description in RNAcentral is "partial 16S ribosomal RNA". It matches the Rfam family "Bacterial small subunit ribosomal RNA", at positions 524 to 776 of the family's 1533-position model. The record is from RNAcentral.
UACAGAGGUCCCAAGCGUUGUUCGGAUUCAUUGGGCGUAAAGGGUGCGUAGGUGGCGCUGUAAGUCGGGUGUGAAAUUUCGGAGCUUAACUCCGAAACUGCAUUCGAUACUGCGGUGCUCGAGGACUGGAGAGGAGACUGGAAUUCAUGGUGUAGCAGUGAAAUGCGUAGAGAUCAUGAGGAAGACCAGUGGCGAAGGCGGGUCUCUGGACAGUUCUUGACACUGAGGCACGAAGGCCAGGGGAGCAAACGGG